GACGAACGCUGGCGGCGCGCCUAACACAUGCAAGUCGAACGAGCGAGAGAGAGCUUGCUUUCUCAAGCGAGUGGCGAACGGGUGAGUAACGCGUGAGGAACCUGCCUCAAAGAGGGGGACAACAGUUGGAAACGACUGCUAAUACCGCAUAAGCCCACGGGUCGGCAUCGACCAGAGGGAAAAGGAGCAAUCCGCUUUGAGAUGGCCUCGCGUCCGAUUAGCUAGUUGGUGAGGUAAUGGCCCACCAAGGCGACGAUCGGUAGCCGGACUGAGAGGUUGAACGGCCACAUUGGGACUGAGACACGGCCCAGACUCCUACGGGAGGCAGCAGUGGGGAAUAUUGCACAAUGGGGGAAACCCUGAUGCAGCGACGCCGCGUGGAGGAAGAAGGUCUUCGGAUUGUAAACUCCUGUUGUUGAGGAAGAUAAUGACGGUACUCAACAAG
Molecule: ribosomal RNA, 445 nt
Filed under: uncultured bacterium
Lineage: Bacteria
Description: bacterial SSU rRNA
Rfam family: Bacterial small subunit ribosomal RNA
Source: RNAcentral